ACUUUCGGUGUCGAUGGCGACCGGCGAACGGGUGCGUAACGCGUAUGUAAUCUACCUUGUACUGGAGAAUAGCUUCCGGAAACGGGAAUUAAUACUCCAUAUUGUUCUUUUGUCAUAAGGCGAAAAUAUGAAAGCUCCGGCGGUACAAGAUGAGCAUGCGUCCUAUUAGCUAGUUGGUAAGGUAAAAGCUUACCAAGGCGACGAUAGGUAGGGGGUCUGAGAGGAUGAUCCCCCACACUGGCACUGAGACACGGGCCAGACUCCUACGGGAGGCAGCAGUAGGGAAUAUUGGACAAUGGGCGCAAGCCUGAUCCAGCCAUGCCGCGUGCAGGAUGACGGUCCUAUGGAUUGUAAACUGCUUUUAUACAGGAGAAAUAAGCCCUUGCGAGGGCCUAUGAUAGUACUGUAAGAAUAAGCACCGGCUAACUCCGUGCCAGCAGCCGCGGUAAGACGGAGGGUGCAAGCGUUAUCCGGAUUCACUGGGUUUAAAGGGUACGUAGGCGGUCCUGUAAGUCGAUGGUGAAAACUAACAGCUCAACUGUUAACGUGCCAUCGAUACUGCUUGACUUGAGUAUAGUUGAGGUGGGCGGAAUU
This 594-nucleotide ribosomal RNA is filed under the name uncultured bacterium. Its description in RNAcentral is "bacterial SSU rRNA". It matches the Rfam family "Bacterial small subunit ribosomal RNA", at positions 72 to 668 of the family's 1533-position model. The record is from RNAcentral.